RNAcentral lists this ribosomal RNA (738 nucleotides) under Pseudomonas aeruginosa. Its description in RNAcentral is "bacterial SSU rRNA". It matches the Rfam family "Bacterial small subunit ribosomal RNA", at positions 50 to 769 of the family's 1533-position model. The record is from RNAcentral. Lineage: Bacteria; Pseudomonadati; Pseudomonadota; Gammaproteobacteria; Pseudomonadales; Pseudomonadaceae.
UACACAUGCCAAGUUCGAGCGGCAGCACGGGAGUUUGCUCCUGGGUUCCCCGGCGGACGGGUGAGUAAUGCCUAGGAAACAGCCUGGAAGCGGGGGAUAACGUCCGGAAACGGGCGCUAAUACCGCAUACGUCCUGAGGGAGAAAGUGGGGGAUCUUCGGACCUCACGCUAUCAGAUGAGCCUAGGUCGGAUUACUAGUUGGUGGGGUAAAGGCCUACCAAGGCGACGAUCCGUAACUGGUCUGAGAGGAUGAUCAGCCACACUGGAACUGAGACACGGCCCAGACUCCUACGGGAGGCAGCAGUGGGGAAUAUUGGACAAUGGGCGAAAGCCUGAUCCAGCCAUGCCGCGUGUGUGAAGAAGGUCUUCGGAUUGUAAAGCACUUUAAGUUGGGAGGAAGGGCAGUAAGUUAAUACCUUGCUGUUUUGACGUUACCAGCAGAAUAAGCACCGGCUAACUUCGUGCCAGCAGCCGCGGUAAUACGAAGGGUGCAAGCGUUAAUCGGAAUUACUGGGCGUAAAGCGCGCGUAGGUGGUUCAGAAAGUUGGAUGUGAAAUCCCCGGGCUCAACCUGGGAACUGCAUCCAAAACUCCUGAGUUAAAGUACGGUAAAGGGUGGUGGAAUUUCCCUGUGUAGCGGUGAAAUGGCGUAGAUAUAGGAAGGACCCCCCAGUGGCGAAAGGCGACCCCCCUUGGGAAUAGAUACUGAACACUUGAAGGUGGCAAAAACCGUGGGGGG